UGCAAGUCGAGCGAAGCACUUUGCUUAGAUUCUUCGGAUGAAGAGGAUUGUGACUGAGCGGCGGACGGGUGAGUAACGCGUGGGUAACCUGCCUCGUACAGGGGGAUAACAGUUAGAAAUGACUGCUAAUACCGCAUAAGACCACAGCACCGCAUGGUGCAGGGGUAAAAACUCCGGUGGUAUGAGAUGGACCCGCGUCUGAUUAGCUAGUUGGUAAGGUAACGGCUUACCAAGGCGACGAUCAGUAGCCGACCUGAGAGGGUGACCGGCCACAUUGGGACUGAGACACGGCCCAAACUCCUACGGGAGGCAGCAGUGGGGAAUAUUGCACAAUGGGGGAAACCCUGAUGCAGCGACGCCGCGUGAGCGAAGAAGUAUUUCGGUAUGUAAAGCUCUAUCAGCAGGGAAGAAAAUGACGGUACCUGACUAAGAAGCACCGGCUAAAUACGUGCCAGCAGCCGCGGUAAUACGUAUGGUGCAAGCGUUAUCCGGAUUUACUGGGUGUAAAGGGAGUGUAGACGGAUGGGCAAGUCUGAUGUGAAAACCCGGGGCUCAACCCCGGGACUGCAUUGGAAACUGUUCAUCUAGAGUGCUGGAGAGGUAAGUGGAAUUCCUAGUGUAGCGGUGAAAUGCGUAGAUAUU
RNAcentral lists this ribosomal RNA (642 nucleotides) under uncultured bacterium. Its description in RNAcentral is "bacterial SSU rRNA". It matches the Rfam family "Bacterial small subunit ribosomal RNA", at positions 56 to 698 of the family's 1533-position model. The record is from RNAcentral.